AUUGAACGCUGGCGGCAUGCCUUACACAUGCAAGUCGAACGGCAGCACGGGUGCUUGCACCUGGUGGCGAGUGGCGAACGGGUGAGUAAUACAUCGGAACAUGUCCUGUAGUGGGGGAUAGCCCGGCGAAAGCCGGAUUAAUACCGCAUACGAUCUACGGAUGAAAGCGGGGGACCUCCGGUCCUCGCGCUAUAGGGUUGGCCGAUGGCUGAUUAGCUAGUUGGUGGGGUAAAGGCCUACCAAGGCGACGAUCAGUAGCUGGUCUGAGAGGACGACCAGCCACACUGGGACUGAGACACGGCCCAGACUCCUACGGGAGGCAGCAGUGGGGAAUUUUGGACAAUGGGCGAAAGCCUGAUCCAGCAAUGCCGCGUGUGUGAAGAAGGCCUUCGGGUUGUAAAGCACUUUUGUCCGGAAAGAAAUCCUUGGCCCUAAUACGGUCGGGGGAUGACGGUACCGGAAGAAUAAGCACCGGCUAACUACGUG
RNAcentral lists this ribosomal RNA (486 nucleotides) under uncultured bacterium. RNAcentral describes it as "partial 16S ribosomal RNA". It matches the Rfam family "Bacterial small subunit ribosomal RNA", at positions 30 to 507 of the family's 1533-position model. The record is from RNAcentral.